AUUGAACGCUGGCGGAAUGCUUUACGCAUGCAAGUCGAACGGCAGCACGGACUUCGGUCUGGUGGCGAGUGGCGAACGGGUGAGUAAUGUAUCGGAACGUGCCCAGUCGUGGGGGAUAACGUAGUGAAAAUUACGCUAAUACCGCAUACGAUCUAUGGAUGAAAGCGGGGGAUCGCAAGACCUCGCGCGAUUGGAGCGGCGUAUAUCAGAUUAGGUAGUUGGUGGGGUAAAGGCCCACCAAGCCAACGAUCUGUAGCUGGUCUGAGAGGACGACCAGCCACACUGGAACUGAGACACGGUCCAGACUCCUACGGGAGGCAGCAGUGGGGAAUUUUGGACAAUGGGCGAAAGCCUGAUCCAGCCAUUCCGCGUGCAGGAUGAAGGCCCUCGGGUUGUAAACUGCUUUUGUACAGAACGAAAAGGUUUCUACUAAUACUAGGAGCUCAUGACGGUACUGUAAGAAUAAGCACCGGCUAACUACGUGCCAGCCGCCGCGGUAA
RNAcentral lists this ribosomal RNA (500 nucleotides) under uncultured bacterium. RNAcentral describes it as "partial 16S ribosomal RNA". It matches the Rfam family "Bacterial small subunit ribosomal RNA", at positions 30 to 523 of the family's 1533-position model. The record is from RNAcentral.